GGUAGGGAAGCCAUGCAGUAGGCGACUGUCUUUUAACCAGUAGAUAGCUCUUUAGAGCCCCUACUA
RNAcentral lists this transfer RNA (66 nucleotides) under Hydroides elegans (calcareous tube worm). RNAcentral describes it as "tRNA-Lys". Lineage: Eukaryota; Metazoa; Annelida; Polychaeta; Sabellida; Serpulidae. The record is from RNAcentral.